This 43017-nucleotide long non-coding RNA is filed under the name Triticum aestivum (bread wheat). RNAcentral describes it as "long non-coding RNA (TAES_LNC009514)". The stretch from base 347 to 433 matches the Rfam family "MIR1120/MIR1122 microRNA precursor family". Lineage: Eukaryota; Viridiplantae; Streptophyta; Magnoliopsida; Poales; Poaceae. The record is from RNAcentral.
UUUUUUUUAGUGUGGUACGGCCCCAUUUUGUAGUUUCACACAUGGCCCCGGAUUUUGCCGGCCCAACCCUGGUAACUGGGCAACCUGUCCGGACAUAUGAGGCGGGNNNNNNNNNNNNNNNNNNNNNNNNNNNNNNNNNNNNNNNNNNNNNNNNNNNNNNNNNNNNNNNNNNNNNNNNNNNNNNNNNNNNNNNNNNNNNNNNNNNNNNNNNNNNNNNNNNNNNNNNNNNNNNNNNNNNNNNNNNNNNNNNNNNNNNNNNNNNNNNNNNNNNNNNNNNNNNNNNNNNNNNNNNNNNNNCUAUCGGCCCCCCUCGAUGUUUCACGGGACAUACUAGUAGUAUUAUAUGCUACUCCCUCUGUCCCAUAAUAUAAGAACGUUUUUUACACUAGUGCAGUGUCAAAAACGUUCUUAUAUUAUGGGACGGAGGGAGUAAUACAUAUGCUAAUUGGCGGGAGCUAAUGGCAACUUUAAUUAGUAUAAGUCAGCCCAUAAUUGAUACUAAUCCGUCUAGUACACAAACCGAAGCCCAGCCCACUUUUACCCUCGGUUGUAAAAGGCUGGAAGCCUACAUGCACGUUUGCUCUUUCAGUAAUUUGGGAGGACCAUGGUUGUUAUCUAGGGUUCCUACCGCCGCUCGUGGCUUGCUGCUCCCACAGCCUCGCUCCCAACUGCAGAGCGCUGCUCCAGUUUGCCGGCCGCCGGCAGCUAGCAAACUACUCAGAUCACUAUAUGGCGCAGGUUGCUUCGACGGUGUUAGUCACUUUGUUGAUUCAGAUACGGAGCCUCGUACUCAAAACAUUUGCGCGUGGUCUAGGGUUUGGUUUCGAAGGUACACCAACAUACACUCUCCUUACUCCUAGUACUUCCUAGGGAUUACGACAUAGCAGGCUAACUAUUCUAGCAAAUAAGAUAACAGAUCAAUUUACUAAUUAGACGUUUCUUUGAACUUUUGAGAAAAUAUUGCUACUAAUUGUCAUCAUUCUGUUCAUAAUUAAAUUUCCUAGUUGUAUGGUCAAUAUAUCUUCUGGGCAAUAUUGUACAAGCUAAGUACUCCCUCCGUCUCAAAAUUCUUGUCUUAGAUUUGUCCAAAUACGAAUGUAUCUAGCUACGUUUUAGUGUUAGAUACAUCCGUAUAUAGACAAAUCUAAAACAAGAAUUUUAGGACGGAGGGAGUAUUAGAUUAUGUACAUAUAGAUAAUUGUUACAUAUGACUAUUUAUAAUAGUUUAAAAAAAAGUGUAUUUACAACGUGUUGUGGAGUGCAAAAAAUUUAGUUUUUGACUCGCCCCCUAUGUCCAAUUCCUGGCUCCGCCCCUGGGUUUAAGAGGUCUGGUUAUAGAUGCUCUAAGGCUCCGUCCGAUGCACAGUUUUGUAAAACACGGGAAAGCAAAAUCCUCAGGAAUAGAAAAACCAGCUAGCUACGAAACAGAGUAACUGAAACAUACGAAGGCCUACGUUCGGCUAUGCCUGUGAAGUAGAGGAAGCUUUUCUAGCGGGAGGUAGUCUAUCAAAUAUUUUAACUGGUUGAGGCCCAUAAUCUGGCACAAAUACUGUAUGCUUUAUUUACAGUAGUCAUUAGACACGUAUAUAAUUAUUAUUUUAUUUAGACUAACAGCUUAGGCUGGAUGUUUCUCUUCCCGUGAAAAGUGAAGGAAAGAGGAUCUUUCCAUAGCGGAUGCAUGUAUGAUGCAUUCCCCUGAUUACUUUCGAUACAUGGAAAUAAAUAAUCUGGUGCCUUGAAUGACCGGCCGCUGAUUGUUAUGCAGCACCUUUUAUUUGAUGAUUCGGUCUGAUUAAUUGUCAUCCUUCUUUGUUUGCUUAAUAGUAGCAAAGGAGAGAAUUAGCAUUUGGCGGGCAAACAUUCUGGCGCCACCACGUUUUUGUUUCCCGCCACUGUGUUGUAUAUAUAUGCGCGCGCGCACGUCCGAUUGACACACAACGACCAUCAGCCUGACAUAACAAAGCAAUUCCAUGGCUCCCCGUCUACCUCCUUUUGUCUCCUCCCCUGAUCUUAUAGAAAUCUCUGAUGAUGAGAUCGCCCCCAAGGUCCAAAGAGAUUGUAGUCACUGAUUCCGAAUAUGAGGACGACCAAGGCAAUGGCGCAUCCUAUGCCAAGGCCGUGUCCACGGCCGCUUCGCUCGUUGCUGCUAGCACCAACGGUGGCGACUCCUGCGGCAACGGUGGCGACUCCCUCGACAACGGCGGCUGGGGCGGCGACUCCCACGGCAACGACGACUGCGGCGGCGACUCCCACGACAACGGCAACAACAGCGACUCCGACAACGCCUCAUCGGCCGCACCAACUCGACCGAAGCAGAGGCCACCAUACAAUUACUGGCGUAGCCAGGAUAUUGUUCAGCUUUUGAAAACCGCUACAAAGCUGCGCGAGGAUUACGGCGAAGCGCGCGUACCUGCAUCCACACUUCUAGAGGAGUUCCUGAAGGGUGGGAAGCCGAUCCGCUGUGGCAAGCUCAUAUCGCGAAACAUCACGACAAGAUGAGGUAUUCGUUGAAGAUAUUUUCUGAUAUGUGCAUGGAAGAUCCCAAACGUAAGUUUCGAAAAGUGCGCACAGGGUCUGAAAAAGAACUCUUUAACUGCUGCAAAGAGUUGUGGCCCUAGCUAAAUGUUGCGAAGAGUAGUGGCCCCAGCUGAAUUCAGCUAAGGCCACAACUCUUUGCAACAUUCAAAGAAUUCUUUUUCAGUCCGUGUGCGCACUUUCCGAAACUUACGAUUUGUGAUCUUCCAUGCACAUAUCAAAAAAUAUCUUCCGCGAAUACCUCAUCUUGUUGGUGAUGUUGCGUGAUAUGAGCUUGCCACGGCGGAUCGGCUUCCCACCCUUCAGGAACUCCUCUAGAAGUGUGGAUGCAGGUACGCGCGCUUCGCCGUAAUCCUGGCGCAGCUUUGUAACGGUUUCAGAAGAUGAACAAUAUCCUGGCUACGCUAGUAAUUGUACGAUGGCCUCUGCUUCUGCCGAGUUGGUGCGGCCGAUGAGGCGUUGUCGGAGUCGGAGUCGUCGUUGUCGGAGUCGCUGCCGUUGCCGUUGCCGUGGGAGUCGCCGCUGUAGUCGUCGUUGCCGUGGGAGUCGCCACCCCAGCCGCCGUUGCCAUGGGAGUCGCCGCCGUUGCCGCGGGAGUCGCCACCGUUGGUGUUAGCAGCAACGAACGAAGCGGCCUUGGCAUAGGAGGCGCCAUUGCCUUGGUCGUCCUCAUGUUCGGAUCAAUGACUACAAUCUCCUUGGGGGCGCUCUCAUCAUAAGAGAUUUCUAUACGAUCAAGGGAGAAGACAAAAAGAGGUAGACGGGAAGCCAUGGAAUUGCUUUGUUAUGUUAGGCUGAUGGUGGUGGUGUGUCGAUCAGACGUGCGCGCGCACAUAUAUAUACAACACACAGUAGCGGGAAACAAAAAUGUGGUGGCGCCAGAAUGUCUGCCCGCCAAAUGCUAAUUCCCUCCUUUGCUACUAUUAAGCAAACAAGGAAGGAUGGCAAUUAAUUAGACCGAAUCGUCAAAUAAAAGGUGCUGCAUAACAAUCAGCAGCCGGUCAUUCAAGGCACCAGAUUAUUUAUUUCCAUGUAUCGAAAGUAAUCAGGGGAAUGCAUCAUACAUGCAUGAAUUGUGCCUCGGCAUCCGCCCAAACAAGAGCUUAGGCUGGAUGUUUCUCUUCCCAUGAAAAGUGAAGGAAAGAGGAUCUUUCCAGAGGAAUGGUUGUAGUCAUUCCUUUGGAUCGAACAGCUUCAUAGCGACUUUUUUUUGAAGGAACCUGAAUCUGUACAAUUCCUCCAAAUUUCCUUCAAACCGAACGCUGCCUAAAGGUGCAGGCCGUCGAAUCACUAUUUUGAAUCACUAUAUCUUCAUCAUGCUGUCGAUGAAAGAUUUCACCUCCAUAAAGAAUCAAGGCAGCAAAAAAAGCUUGAGACAUCAACAUAAACUCAUCAAAUCCGAAUAAUCGGAUCUGCGAAGAUAGAAAACUCUCUAACCCCAUGGCAUUGCCAAAAGGACGAGAGGAAAUUUAUUCUCACAAAAUUAUGAUGAUCACUAGACAUUGAGCAAGAACAUAAAGGUCUGAAUUUCUCAGAUGGCAGCCGCAGCUGAGGGGAUCUCAAUUUCUCAGAUGGUGGCGGCAACAACGGCAUGAGAGAAUUCUUUCUUAUUGAUUUGUAAGAGCAUCUCCGAUGUUGGCCAGCAAAUUAUCUGGCAACCGUUCGCAGACACAGAUUUGGAAGCCGACCACAUCCUACGUAUCUGGUAUAUGUCUGUCAGUAACUAAAAGAUAAUUUAAAUGCAAAUAAAAAAUCCGAUCCACAACGCCGGAUCACACUAGCGCCCGAUGACGGUGUCCUGGACUAGGGGGUAGUCACCAUGUCGUCUCCCGAUCAGUUAGAUUGGGCCGAGGACCCCAUGGCCGCAUACUCAUGGGCCAGUUCGGACAACCCCUGCCGCAUACAAGGAAGACUCCACAAGACUUGGCGCCCAAGACAAGGACUCUCCUAAACCCUAGGCCUCCGGUGUCUUAUAUAAACCGAGGCCAGGCUAGUCAAUGGACAAUCUCGUAUUCAUUACUACGAUCUCGUGGUAGAUACAUGUACUCUGUACUACACCCCAUACAAAUACAAUCAAAAGCAGCAUGUAGGGUAUUAUCUCUUCAAGAGAGCCCGAAGCUGGGUAAAACCCUGUGUCCAUGUUACCAUCGCUCCAAGACGCCUAGCUUAGGACCCCUACUACGAGAUACGCCGGUUUUGACACCGACAUUGAUGCUUUCAUUGAGAGCCUGCUGGGCGAUCGUCGCGGAUUGAUGGGAUAAUCAGGUUAUAUUUUUUCAGUUGGAUCUGUUUUGUAGAUAUCUAUUUCUUGCAAAUUAUUCUCUGUCAAUCUGUGAAAUUUUCUUCGCAGACGUAUUCUAGAUCGAAACCUACAUGAAUAAUCGAUCUACUCUGCCGUUCCGAUUUGUUAUGCGGCGGCCGCCAUCUGAUACUUUGAUGCUUCUGCGGCUGCUAGCCAUCUGAUACUUUGAUGCUUCUGCGGCUGCUGUCCGAACGGACGUGCAACACACGCCGAUCUAAUCACGCAUAGGCGUGCACCAGCCGUGCGCCUGCUGGUUCCUUGGGAGUAGGGCUGCAAGAAAAGCUCGAGGCUCGUGAGCCGCUCGAGAUCGACUCAUUUUUUGACUCGACUUGAGAUCGACUCGAAAAGAAACGAGCUGAGUUUGAACACUUUACGUAGCUCGACGGAGAAAUGAGUCGAUCUUGAGCCAAUGUUGGCUCGCUCGAUUUUAGCUCGAUAGCUCGACAAAAUAUCAUUAUGUUAAAUGAUCUUGCCAUAUAUUAAAUGAAAAUAAGAUAAUUUUAUUACCAUAUAUGUUAUACAUAUUUUUUCUCCAUUUUAUUUACCAACGAACAUGAAAACUUAAUUAAGUGCUGAGAAGAUUUAGACCUAAUUAUGGCACGUGGUCAACUAUGUGUUAAAUAUCAUAUAUUUUUGACAAAGGUUCCCAGCAUAUUCACCUUAAUUUUUUUGUUUUUCAUCCAUAGAUUUAUAAUUUUUACCAUCUCAUUUAGCUCGAAACUAGCUCGAGAUCGACUCGAGCUCGUUACAAGCUGAGCACGAUUCAUGUUCUAUAGCUCGAUCAUGAGCUUCAUUUAGUUUGAGCUCGCUCGAAUUUGCAUAUGAAUUGAGCUGAGCCAACUCUAACUCGCUCGAGCUCGACUCGUUUGCAGCCCUACUUGGGAGCUGAGUACUACUGAGGAUAGUCCAUCUUUAUCUAAUCGUUUAAUAGUCCACCUCGAUCAUGUUGAUUCCUCCUCACGUGGGAGCCUAGUACUCAAUACUAGGAAAAGUAGUACACAUGAUGUGACCCAUACAUGCUUGACAACGCCGGUUGUCGUUUUCUCUUUGGAUCAUUGCAUCCGCCAUUGAGCAAAUCAGGUGCUAUUCUUCCUCACAAUUUCAUAUAGCAUAAAUUAUCCGUGCCUCAUAUUUUUGCCAGUCUGCACUAUUUUGUGUAUACAGAUCGCAGUACAACCGGUUUCCUGUCUGCGGUCCGUCGAACAACGCGUCUGGAACUCGGAUCGCCCAGCGAAAUCGGAUUUUAUUGUGUCUUCACCGCAUCACACGUACGCCCUACAUCAACACGAACUUCGACCCCAGGCCUACUAGUACUAUUACUAGUACUCACGCACCACAUAUGGGAUCGACCAGGUUACACAUCAUAUAGAAGUUUUGGACAGUUUUUCCACCGCUAAGGCUAUAGAUCACGUGCACUUAUUCCACUUUUAUUACUCUGUAUAAUUUAAUGUAUCCAGAAAACUCUUUGCUUUUGAUGUGCAUUCUUGGGUACGCAGGUUCAUCUGUUCGGACAUAGAUGCCAUACAGACACCGGGCUGGUCCGCCGCCCCGUCAUUAUGACAGUCCGACAACCACUGCACCUGACAUCUCCGCACAACGAGCUUGGAUCAUGCCGACGGUGUCACCUCGGCGCACGCUCCUGUGCCGACAUCUCCACGCGGCCACUCUUUUGGGACGACCUCGGCGUUCAGGCCAUAUUUAUUUAAUUAUCUACUUUACUUAAGUUAAUUAAGUAGAGGAUAUUUUUUAUAUAAAAAAACAUAUAUAUUAUCAUCUCUUGCCUUGCACUAUUCUGUCUCUGCAGGCAAUUGACUUACACCGCGCAUUACCUGGCGCAACGACGCCCAUUGGGUCCGAAGAAAGUUCGGCUCAGCGCAAUCACAUGGAGAUUUGACCUCUUUUUUCCUUUCUCCCUUUAUAUUAUUUAAUUAAGCAGGUAAUGGACUUCGACCGCGUCACGUGGUCUCUUUGGCAAGCCGACGUCGUCGUCCCAAUCGGCGUAUCGCACGAUCAACUUGUUGGUCGCGUUGCCAUACCGACGUGUUCGGUUGCCUCGGGGACUUCAGCAUCGCCGAGAAAGCUCUACCUUAUCGAGUGUUCGGCGCACAGGCCAUACUUCUUUUAUCUUCGGUUUGCACUAUUUCUUGUGCACAGGAGAAUGAUCCAGAUUGGGCAGCGCUGUCACCUUGGUGUACCUACAUACUACGUCAUCUCGGUUGGACGGGGGCAUCAUCAACACUUCGUUACCCCACGCCGGGGACUUCGGCGUCACUCUGUCGGCCUGCAUUGGCCGUACUAUGUCACCACUUCGGAUUGCCCAGCUCUUUGCUCCGCCACCUCGGGACCGGCUUGGGGGCUGGGACCUUGUCCCGCCGUAAGCUCGGACCGCGUCAUCAAUGCCGAACACAUUAACCAGCUAAGUCGCUUUCAUGCUCAAAGUUUUAAAAUUUUAAAUUUUGUUCGGUCCGACCAAGCGUUAUACUUUUUUUAGCAAAAAGUGGUUUGUGAAAGACUUCCUUGUCCAAACUUUGUUUGUGACACACAAAUUCAAAUACCCCAUUCACUCGGGGGCUUCCUUUAUGAAGCAUUUCCUCUUGCAUAUGAUUAUACUUGUACGGCUUCGUUCCUUGUUCGUGUAUUACGCCACAAUAUGCACCAUAUUGACUUAAGUUGUUCCGCAAGCUGGGUUGCCUGGCUCAUGUGCUUUCCCUACGUUCCCGAUUGUUCUGCUAGGGAGUAAAGGAAGCACCUCUGCGAUUGUCACGACCGGAUCGUCCGAGCUCUGACCUCAGACUGGGUGAAGCCGAAAGCUAGCGCUCUUAUUGUUUUCAAUUAUGGUCGGCACACAACGGAACUCAUGAGUAUAAAAACUCUAUUGCACAAGUCUCAUAACAGCAAUGAGCAACCGAAGAAAGGUAUCGGUGGGGGUACUAUUUUCUUCGAAGAUGCUUCUUACACUUCGUUAGUAAUAUAGCAUAAGUUCCCUAAGCGCGCUUUGUCUGUUACAGCAUUAUGGCCUGAUUGCUUGGUUGUCGAAAACACCGCCGAUAUUCUCGACAGGUGGAGUACAUAACACUUUUCAGCCCUUGGCCGAAGAGGGAGAAGCCGGCGGUCGGUUAAGACGCGUUUAAAGUUCGGGUGAACACAUAUAUGAUAUAAGUACUUCGGUACAUACAAUCAUUAUACAUAAAAUUCUUUUACCCAAGUCACUCGGGGGCUCUUAAAUUUAUGUGAGAUGUUUUAUAAUAAGUGUUCUUCUUCCUAGUCGUUGCAAAGUCUUUUUUCUAUCACUCCUUUUUUCGAUGCGAGUGUGUGGUCAAUAGCCGGGGGCCUAAUUUCCCUCUCACAGCCGCUAAAGUUUGCUAAACUGGCAUAACAAGAAGUACUCCGCCUUCGGGAUAGGAGGUUGAAGCCAUAGGUUGACCCGCUUGAAGUCUUGAGAUAGGAUAUGUCAUGUUAAAGCACGACAGAAGCACAUUUUUUUCUCUAAGACCAAUUUUCUAAUUGGCACCGAACAAUUGAUCUAGUUCGGACGUCGAGUUUUUUCCUGACGUUUUUUGGUUUUCCAAUCCUAUGGCACUUUUCAACUAUUUGUGUGUUUUCCGCGUAAGUCUCGCAGUGCAACGCCGGACACCUUUAGAGAUUCGGGAAAAAUUCUUGGAUAUUGCUAUAUAUGCAUCAGUUUCGAAUUGUGUCUUCGGUCAAUAGUUGGGUUGCCCGGCUCCUGUGCUUGCCUCCUAUGUUCUGCUUUGUUCGGCUAGGUGUGCAAAGGGAGAACCACUGCGAUUGUGCUUCUAGCUCGCAUGGUUAAGCACCGUAGUGGAGAAAGCCGAAAACUGACUAUCACAAUAAGCGUAAACUGGUCAGCAGUCCGAUGACUGUAUUAAAAGACGGGCCGUUCAUAACAUUGGCCGAGUGUUUACGGCUUGACCUCGGCUGUCGUCGAACACUAAGCGGGGGGCUACUUGCUGGCCUCCCAACUUUAAGAUCCUAUGACUAAGUGAAAGUUAUAAAGCCCGCAUAUCUGAUUGCCUCGUUUCUGCCAACACAACCGCCUUCGGGCACCGAGACGUCGGCUAAGGGUUGUUUUGUUAUUUCGGAAACACCCUGCGUAGCAUCUACAAGGGGGUAGAAGCCGACGAUGGGCCACUUUCAGAUUAUAAACGGUCGCAACGGAAGUGAAAAUUUGGGUUCAUCUAGACCAUAGAGUUUGGAAGCUUUUCCUGAACUAAAUCCUCAGUAUUUUCCUCCCACAUUGAUCGGAGCCGAGGUUUCAUGAUCAUGCUUAGCAUAACAACCCAAAGAAAGGAACCGAUAGCGGGACUAUUUUCUUUGGACGAUGUUUCUUAUGUUAAAACAAUAAUAUAACAUGUCUCUCUAUGUACCUUUGUUUAUAAAACCGUAUGGCCGGAUUGCCUUGUUUGCCAUAAAUCUUUUCCCUCGUAAAGGCUUUAUAAAGUGGGACAAACACUCCCCGGCUACUGGACGAGGAGGUUGAAGCCGAUGGCCGGUCAACAAAGUUUUGUACAAUGCCGAUCCGAGCAUUGAUGAUGUAAAGUACUUAGAUACAUAGAAUCAUUACACAUAAUUUGUGAUUUUACUUUGGAUAUUGAUCCUUAAUUCGGCCACCAGUGCCCACAUUAAGGAUCGGGGGCUACUAGGCUUUGUGCUUAUUAUUUACAAAGAUUAAAGGGGUACAUCGAUCCCUGAUCUGGUGUUGCCACCCAACCAGUGUCUCGGGGGCUACUGCAUUGCCUGUCCAAUGCAAAAAAAUUAAAGUGCAAUAUAGUUUUCGAGGAGAUUAUUAUCCUCAGGUUGGUCGUCUGCACCCAACCUGAGUCUCGAGGACUUUGCACACCGCGUUUCUAUUCCUAUGUAUGCUACCGAGCUAGGAGUUGAUCCUCAGGCCGAUUUCGCGCAUCGACCUGAGUCUUAGGGGCAACUAGGAUCAGCAGUUUCAUGUUUUCCUUCAGGUGCAUCUCGGGUUUUAGACCGACGCACACACCUUGAGGGUUACUGGCUAUAUAUCUCGGUAGAGAAUAAAUUGCACCAAUCAAAAAAUCAGCCCGCGGUCAGGGGUGGUGCACCACCUCGGAAGCAGUCCGGCAUUAAGCUCGGGCGCUAGUGGCUAGCUCCAUAGAGGGCAUUUCCGGCAUUAAGCUCGACUAAACUCCUUAAAAAAUUUGAACCCUGAUGAUCUAUGACAUCUCGGAUAUAGUCCGGCAUUGGAACUCGGAUACAGUCCGGCAUUGGAGCUUGGACACAUUCCGGCGUUAGAGCUUGGAUACAUUUUGGCGUUGGAGCUAGGAAGCAGUCCGGCAUUUGUGCUUGGCUGCAAAAGAUACCUCGGAUGCAAUCCGGCGUUGGAGCUCAGAUGCAAGAGGACACUGCCGCCCGGGAAUAACUUCAAACCUGAGGUGUGGCAUAAUAAUAACAAGGCAUUGAUAAAGGCCAGAAACUUAAAGGGGCUCCUUGGAUACCUGACAUAUAAACUCUUCGGAUUUACUUCGCGAUCCUCAAGAUCGAAGAUGAGAAGAUUUGUUGAACCAGUUUUCAAGACCGACGACCGAAGAUGAAGAACAGUUCGGAAGAAUCGAGGAGCGUCCCCAACUUGAAGACCGGUUCAGGGGGCUACUGACGGUGUCCUGGACUAGGGGGUAGUCACCAUGUCGUCUCCCGAUCAGUUAGAUUGGGCCGAGGACCCCCAUGGCUGCAUACUCAUGGGCCAGUUCGGACAACCCCUGCCGCAUAGAAGGAAGACUCCACAAGACUUGGCGCCCAAGACAAGGACUCUCCUAAACCCUAGGCCUCCGGUGUCUUAUAUAAACCGAGGCCAGGCUAGUCAAUGGACAAUCUCAUAUUCAUUACUACGAUCUCGUGGUAGAUACAUGCACUCUGUAGUACACCCCAUACAAAUACAAUCAAAAGCAGCAUGUAGGGUAUUAUCUCUUAAAGAGAGCCCGAAGCUGGGUAAAACCCUGUGUCCAUGUUACCAUUGCUCCAAGACGCCUAGCUUAGGACCCCUACUACGAGAUACGCCGGUUUUGACACCGACACCCGAUGAUAUGCUCGAUCACAACAAAAGGAGGUAAGUAUGCUUAAGUUUUUUACAUGCCUGAUCACAACAGAAAUAUUAGUCCGGCAGUCAAAAUUGACAUUUUUGCCCCGCCGGACCGGCAAUCCGAGCCUCCUCCAUGCUCAAGGUGUCAUCACCGCCAUGUAUGCACCCUUCCGCCUCCGCCUCCUCCCCAUCCGCCGCCUCCAACUCAUUUUUCUCCCGCCGCAACAUCUUCUAGCGGACGACUGACACAAUCAUUCUUACGUCGGCAUCCAAAGACUCCACCUUCAAGAACAACACCUUGGCGUCCUCCGCGCUAGCUAUGAUCUUCAUCUUCUUUUCCUUGGACAUCAACUUCUUCUCCUCGAGCAUGGCUUUUUUCUCUUCGAUGAAAGCCCUCUUUGUUGGGGAACGUUGCAUGGAAAACAAAAAAUGUUCUACGCACACACAAGAUCUAUCCAUGGAGAUGCAUAGCUACGUGAGGGGAGAGCAUCUUCAUACCCUUGAAGAUCACUAAGCGGAAGCAUUUAUCAACGCGAUUGAUGUAGUUGUACACCUUUACGAUUCAUCUCGAUCAAGUAUCGAACGUACGACACCUCCGCGUUCAGCACACGUUCAACUCGAUGAUGUCCUCGCCUUCUUGAUCCAGCAAGAGGGCAAAGUAGUAGAUGAGUUCCGGCAGCACGACGGCGUGGUGACGGUGGUGGUGAAGAACAAUCUCCUUAGGGCUUCACUAAGAACAACGGAAACUAUGACAGAGGAUAAACUAGAGGGUGCGGGGUUGCUGGCACACGGCUUGGUGAUUCUUGAUGUGUUCCGGGUGCUAGCCCUACCCCUCUAUUUAUAUGUUGAGCCCUGGGGUCGUAACUUGGAGAAAGGGCCUCCUCGAAGUCGGUUUGGCAUGCAAGGCAAGAGUCCUUCUCGGAAUCCAGGACCAGACGCCAGGGUCCUCGGCGUCUUGCCCCUGGCCUUCGCAAAACUGCCUUUUGCACUUUCCAAAAGCCUCGUGGGCUUUACCCCUUGGCCCAAAUAAAGUGUUCUCGUACCCGAACAUUUCGGGAAACAUCCGAAACCCCUUCCGGUGAGUUCUGGGAACCUUCCAGAGACUAAACACUAUUAUCCCAUAUAUCAAUCUUUGCCUUUGCAUUAUUCCGGAACUCCUCGUCAUGUCCGUGAUCUCAUCCGGGACUUCGAACAACAUUCGGUCACCAACAUACAUAACUCAUAUAAUACUAUAUCGUCAACUAACAUUAAGCGUGUGGACCCUAUGGGUUCGAAAAUGAUGUAGACAUGACCGAGUCGCUUCUCAAGUCAAUAACCAAUAGCAGGACCUGGAUGCCCGUAUUGGUUCUUACAUAUGUAGUUCCCUUUGUCUAUCGGAGAUUCGAUCGUCAGUAUCUCCAUACCUAGUUCAAUCUUGUUACCGGCAAGUCUCUUUACUCGUUCUGUAAUACAUCAUCCUGUAACUAACUCCUUAGUCACUUUUAUUGCAAGCUUCUUGUGAUGUUGUAUUACCGAGAUGGCCCAGAAAUACCUCUCUGUCAUACGGAGUGACAAUCCCAGUUUCGGUCCAUGCCAAUCCAACAAACACCUUCGGAGAUACCUGUAGAGCACCUUUAUGAUUACCCAAUUACGUUGUGACGUUUGAUGGCACACAAGGCAUUCCUCCGGAUUCCGGGAGUUGCAUGAUCUCAUCGUCGAAGAAACAUGUAUUUGACAUUAAGAAAGCAAUAGCAAUAAAUUGAACGAUCAUAUGCUAUGCUAACGGUUGGGUCUUAUCCAUCACAUCAUUCUCCUAAUGACGUGAUCCCGUUAUCAAAUGACAACUCAUUCUAUGGUUAGGAAACCUUAGCCAUCUUUGAUCAACGAACUAGUCUAGUAGAGGCUCACUAGGGACACAGUGUUGUCUAUGUAUCCACACAUGUAUAUGAGUUUCCGAUCAAUACAAUUCUCGCAUGGAUAAUAGAAGUUUAUCAUGAACAAGGAAAUAUGAUAAUAACCAAUUUAUUAUUGCCUGUAGGGCAUAUUUCCAACAAUCUCCCACUUGCACUAGAGUCAAUAAUCUAGUUCACAUCGCCAUGUGAUUAACAGCCAAAGAGUUCACUAGAGUCAAUAAUCUAGUUCACGUCGCCAUGUGAUUAACACCCAAAGAGUUCACUAGAGUCAAUAAUCUAGUUCACAUUGCCAUGUAAUUAAUACCAGAGAGUUCUAAGGUGUAAUCAUGUUUUGCUUGUGAGAGAGGUUUUUAGUUAACGGGUCUGCAACAUUUAGAUCGUGUGUACUUUACAAAUCUUUAUGUCAUACUAUAGAUGUUGCUAUCAUGCUUUACUUGGAGCUAUUCCAAAUGACUGCUCCAUUAUACUUUUUUCAUCCGGUUUGCUAUUCAGAGUUAUCCAUAUAGGUGUGAAAGCUUGCAUCGACUUAGCCCUUUACGACGAACUCUUUAUCACUUCCAUAAUCGAGAAACAUUUUCUUAGUCCUCUAGUUACUAAGGAUAAUUUUGACUGAUGUCCAAUGAUCCACUCCUUGAUCACUCUUGUACCUCCUUUGCCAGACACGUGGAAAGGAACACAUCAGGUGUGGUACGCAACAUGGCAUAUCAUAUAGAGCCUAUGGCUAAGGCAAAGGGGACGACCUUCCUCCUUUCUCUUUCUUCUGUCGUGGUCGAGCUUUGAGUCUUACUCAACUUCACACCUUAUAAUACAUGCAAGAACUCCUUCUUUGACUGAUCCAUUUUGAACUCCUUCAAACUCUUAUCAAGGUAUGUACUCAUUGAAAGUCUUAUAAUGGGUUUUGAUCUAUCUCUUUAAAUCUUGAUGCCCAAUAUGUAAGCAGCUUCACUGAGGUCUUCCAUUGAAAAAUUCUUAGUCAAGUAUCCUUUUAUGCCUUCCAGAAGUUUUAUAUCAUUUCCAAUCAGUAAUAUGUCAUCCACAUAUAACAUUAAAAAUACUAUAGAGCUCCCACUCACUUUCUUGUAAAUACAUGCUUCACCAUAAGUCUGUAUAAAACCAAAUGCUUUGAUCACCUUAUCGAAGCAUUUAUUCCAACUCCGAGAUGCUUGCACCAUUCCAUAGAUGGAUCGCUGGAGCUUGCACACUUUGUUAGCACCUUUAGGAUCGACAAAACCUUCUGGUUGCAUCAUAUACAACUCUUCCUUAAGAAACCUGUUAAGGAAUGUAGUUUUGAUGUCUAUUUGCCAGAUUUCAUAAAAUGCGGCAAUUGCUAACAUGAUUCGUACAAACUUAAGUAUCGCUACGACUGAGAAAGUCUCAUCGUAAUCAAUCCCUUGAACUUGUCGAAAACUUUGUUACGACAAGUCGAGCUUUGUAGAUAGUGAUAUUACCCUCAACAUUUGUCUUCCUCUUGAAGAUCCAUUUAUUCUCAAUGGCUUGCCGAUCAUUGGCAAAUCCACCAAAGUCUACACUUUGUUCUCAUACAUGGAUCCUAUAUCAGAUUUCAUGGCCUCAAGCCAUUUUUUUUGGAAUCUGGGCUCAUCAUAGCUUCUUCAUAGUUCGUAGGUCCACCCUUGUCCAACAAAAUGACUUCCAGGACAAGAUUGACAUACCACUUUGGUGCGGAAUGUGCUCUGGUCGACCUACGAGGUUUAGUAGUAACUAGAUCUUAUGUUUCAUGAUCAUGAUCAUUUGCUUCUUCUCUGGCUUGUGUAGGCAUCAUGGGAACGACUUUCUCUGAUGUAUUACUUUACAAUUCGAUAGAAGGUACAACUACCUCAUCAAGUUCUACUUUCCUCUCACUCACUUCUUUCGAGAGAAACUCCUUCUCUAGAAAGGACCCAUUCUUAGCAACAAAGAUUUUUCCUUAGGGCAUCUCCAGCCGCGCCUUCAGGAAGGCCUCCCCAGGCGAUUUUUUCGCGCCGGCGCCAAAAAAACGGCCCAGUCGCGCCCCCAGGAGCCCGAUUUUCGCCGGCUUGGGCUGAAAACAGCGCCGACGGACAGAACCCGAACCCGGCGCGCUGGGGGGCGCCCGGGGGCGCCGGGGCGAGCUGUUUUGGCGCGAAAAAGACGCGGGCCAGCCGCGUCAGCGACUCGGCGCCUCGUCUUCCCCCAACAGCCUUGGUUCCCGCGGGGAAUCAAUGGCAAGGCUGCCGCCGGUCAGCCUUGCCAUUGAUUCCUCACGGGCGGCGCUUCACGGGAUGACGCGCCGACGCCUCCCCUCCCUUGCACGCGUACACACGGGCGCGGCCCGGCUAUAAAAGCCGGCCGCCUCCACUCGCCUGUGCCCACACCAGCCCCGCCCCUCACCGUCGUCCAGCCCCUCCCUCUCCCUGCCUCUCCCGAGCGCCGCCGCCCAGCCCCUCCCUCUACCUCUCCCGAGCCCGCCCAGCCCCGCCGUCGCCAUGGCAGAACUCUUCCCCGGAGACGAGGCAGCGACCAACGGCUUCGGCCGCCGUUCGCUCCGCGAACAAGAGUCCUGGCUCCUGUUCCAGGCGAACAUCCCGGUGCCGCCGGACAUGCGCGCCGGGCCAACGGGGUGGAGACUCAGCACCGGGGGAGUGCCCAUUCCCUCGUUGCUCGACGCCGUGGCAAAGCCGAACUACUUCGCCGAGGAGGUCGAGAUCGUGCGCGCGUCCCUCACCGACGCCCAGCUCUCCCUCCCCCAGUACGCCGCCGACAACCACGCGGCCUGGGCGGCGUAUUUCGAGCACCGCCAGCAGCAGCGAUUGGCAUCCACCAACGGCGCGCCGGUGGUCGGAGGCCGGCAGAACAGCGAGGGGCGCCACCUCUGGUGGGGCGUUCCCGGCCGCACACUCGAGGGCGUGCUCACGUACCUCGAGGGCGGCAACGACCCGUCGUUGGCGUACCCCCCGGCACAGCACCGACGCGUCGGGCCAUGGGCGCCAAGGAGGUUCGGGUCCUCCUCCUCCUCUUCCUCCUCCCGAUCCUCAUCAUACUCCUCCGGCACUCCGGCCCUGCUCGGCGUCAAGGCCGAGCCCGUGGCGGAGUCGCCGCUCGCCCGGCGCACUCGCAGCGUCGGCAUCGUCAUCAACGAGGGCAGCCGGCGCGCCUCCUCCUCGUCGGCUCCUCCGCGCUUUGUCAAGCCAAAGACGGAGCCGGGGCUGGCGCCGGUGAAGGCGGAGCCAGGGCUGGCGCUGGUGAAGGCGGAGUUCGACAACGACGACGCGGCCCUAGAAUGGGCGCGCCAGGACUCCAUUGCGAUGGAGAAGGCGCGCCGGGAGAAGGUGAAGGAGCGCCAGCGCGCCGCCCUGUGCCGCUUCGAGGAGCGCCGACGCGGCCGCGAUGAAGAUGGGGUUGUCGUCCUAUGCGACAGCGACGACGAUGAUGUCGCGCCGCCGCCAGUCCGCCAUGGCGACGCCGGGUCCAGCAGGGGCGCCCGCGUCAAGGAGGAGAAGUCCGACGACGACGAUGGCGGCGACGACUUCAGCCCCUUUCUUUUUUAGAUUAGGUUAAUGUAAUGAAAAUGCGUGAAUUUCGCCGAAAUUUGCCAUGUUUAGCUGAAAUUUAACUACUUCUUAUCAUAACUUUGCCGAAUGGCCCUUUUUUUAAUAUGCUCCUUGGGGCGGCCCUGGGGGCCGACGGCUGGGGACCGACUCGCCCCCAGGGCCAUUUUUUGCGCCGGCUCACCCCCAGGCGGCGCUUUUAGACGCCCCCUAGGGGGCCAACGGCUGGAGAUGCCCUUGGGACCUGUGGUAGAAGGUAUACCCAAUAGUUUAUUUCGGGUAUCCUAUGAAGACAUACUUCUUUGCUUUGGGUUGGAGCUUAUCGGGCUGAAGCUUUUUGACAUAAGCGUCGCAUCCCCAAACUUUAAGAAACGACAACUUAGGUUUCUUGCCAAACCACAGUUCAUAUGGUGUCAUCUCAACAGAUUUAGACGGUGCCCUAUUUAAUGUUGAGGCGAUUGUCUCUAGUGCAUGACCCCAAAAUGAUAUUGGUAAAUCAGUAAGAGACUUCAUAGAACGCACCAUAUCUAAUAAAGUAUGGUUGCGAUGUUCGGACACACCAUUACGCUGUGGUGUUCCAGGUGGCGUGAUUUGUGAAACUAUUCCAUAUUUUUUAAGUGAAGGCCAAACUCGUAACUCAAAUAUUUGCCUCCGUGAUCUGAUCGUAGAAACUUUAUUUUCAUGGUACAAUGAUUCUCCACUUCAUUCUGAAAUUCUUUGAAAUUUUCAAAUGUUUCAUACUUAUGUUUCAUCAAGUAGAUAUACCCAUACCUACUCAAAUUUUCUAUGAAGGUUAGAAAAUAAUGAUACCCGCCGCUUGCUUCAACACUCAUUGGACCGCAUACAUCGGUAUGUAUUAUUUCCAAUAAGCCAUUAGCUCACUCCAUUGUUCUAGAGAACAGAGUUUUAGUCAUAUUGCCCGUGAGCCAUGGUUCGAAAGUAUCAUAUGAUUCAUAAUCAAGUGAUUCGAAAAGUCCAUCCGCAUGGAGUUUAUUCAUGCGCUUUACACCAAUAUGACCUAAAUGGCAGUGCCACAAGUAUGUUGCACUAUCAUUAUCAACUUUGCAUCUUUUGGCAUCAAUAUUAUGAAUAUGUGUAUCACUACAAUCGAGAUUCGAUAAAGCAUUCUCAUUGGGUGUAUGACCAUAGAAGGUUUUAUUCAUGUAAACGGAACAACAAUUGUUCUCUGACUUAAAUGAAUAACCGUAUUGCAAUAAACCUUAUCCAAUCAUGUUCAUGCUGAACGCAAAUAACAAAUAAUGUUUAUUUAGGCUCAACACUAAUCCUGAAGGUAGAGGGAGUAUGCGAUGGUGAUCAUAUCAAUAUUGGAAUCACUUCCAACACACAUCGCAACCUCGCCCUUAACUGGUCUCUUAGCAACUGAACUGUUAUCAAAUACCCAGGGGCUGCUACGAGCACCAUUAAGGUGCACAUAAAUAACAUGUAUAUCAAAUAUACCUUUGUUUACUUUGCCAUCCUUCUUAUUUGCCAAGUAUUUGGGGUAGUUCCGCUUCCAGUGACCAUUUCCUUUGCAGUAAAAGCACUCAGUUUUAGGCUUGGGUCCAGCUUUGGGUUUUUCAUGGGAGCGACAACUUGCCUGCCGUUCUUAUUGAAGUUCCCUUUAUUUCCCUUGCCUUUUUAAUUAAAAUGGGUGGUCUUUCUAACCAUCAACACAUAACUCCUAUAUUUGACACGAAGAAAGCAGCAGCAAUAAAACUGAACGAUCAUUAUGCUAAGCUAACGGAUGGGUGUUGUCCAUCACAUCAUUCUACUAAUGAUGUGAUCCCGUUAUGAAAUGACAACUCAUGUCCAUGGCUAGGAAACUUAACGAUCUUUGAUCAAUGAGCUAGUCUAGUACAUGCAUACUAGGGACACAUAGUUUUGUCUAUGUAUUCACACAUGUAUCAAGUUUCCGGUUAAUACAAUUCUAGCAUGAAUAAUAAACAUUUAUCAUGAAUAAAGAAAUAUAAAAUAACAACUUCAUUAUUGCCUCUAGGGCAUAUUUCCUUCAGUGCUCCCCUCUCAUGGCCCAUAUGGCCCAUAUAUUCUCCUUGGGGGUUUCGGUAACCCCUCCGGUACUCUGAUAUGUACCUGGUACCCUCCGGAACACUUCCAGUGUCCGAAUACUAUCGUCCUAUAUAUCAAUCUUUACCUCUCGACCAUUUCAAGACUCUUCGUCAUGUCCGUGAUCUCAUCGGGGACUCCAAACAACAUUCGGUCACCAAAUCACAUAACUCAUAUAACACAAUAUCAUCAUCGAACGUUAAGCAUGCUGACCCUAUGGGUUCGAGAACUAUGUAGAGAUGAACGAGACACCUCUCCGGUCAAUAAACAAUAGUGGAACCUGGAUGCUCAUAUUGGCUCCCACAUAUUCUAUGAAGAUCUUUAUCGGUCGAACCGUUAUGACAACAUACAUUAUUUCCUUUGUCAUCGGUAUGUUAUUUGCCCGAGAUUCAAUCGUCGGUAUCUUCAUACCUAGUUCAAUCUCGUUAAUGGCAAGUCUCUUUACUCAUUACGUAAUAUAUCAUCCUGCAACUAACUCAUUAGUUACUUUCCUUGCAAGGCUUCUUAUGAUGUGUAUUACUGAGAGGGCCCAGAGAUACCUCUUCGAUACUCGGAGUGACAAAUCCUAAUCUCGAUCUAUGCCAACCCAACAAACACCUUCGGAGAUACCUGUAUAGCAUCUUUAUAUUCACCCAAUUACGUUGUGACGUUUGAUAGCACAUAAGGCAUUCCUCCGGUAUCCGGGAGUUGCAUAAUCUCAUAGUCGAAGGAAUAUGUAUUUGACAUGAAGAAAGCAAUAGCAAUAAAACUGAACGAUCAUAAUGCUAAACUAACGAAUGGGUCUUGUCCAUCACAUCAUUCUCCUAAUGAUGUGAUCAUGUUCAUCAAAUGACAACACAUGUCUAUGGUUAGGAAACUUAACCAUCUUUGAUUAAUGAGCUAGUCUAGUAGAGGCUUACUAGGGACACAUUGUUUUAUCUAUGUAUCCACACAUGUAUCAAGUUUCCGAUUAAUACAAUUCUAGCAUGAAUAAUAAAAUUUUAUCAUUAAAUAAGGAAAUAUUAAAUAACAACUUUAUUAUUGCCUCUAGUGCAUAUUUCCUUCAGUCUCCCACUUGCACUAGAGUCAAUAAUCUAGUUCGCAUCGCCAUGUGAUUUAACACCAAUAGUUCACAUCUUUAUGUGAUUAAGACCCAUAGUUCACAUCGCCAUGUGAUCAACAUGCAAAGGGUUUACUAGAGUCAACAAUCUUGUUCACAUUGGUAUGUGAUUAACACCCAAAGAGUACUUAGGUGUGAUCAUGUUUUGCUUGUGAGAGAAGUUUAGCCAACGGGACUGCCAUAUUCAGAUCCGUAUGUAUUUUGAAAAUUUCUAUGUCUACAAUGCUCUGCAUGGGGCUACUCUAGCUAAUUACAACCACAUUCAAUAUGUAUCUAGACUGAGACUUAGAGUCAUCUAGAUCAAUGUCAAAGCUUGCAUCGAUGUAACUCUUUAUGACGAACUCUUUAUCACCUCCAUAACCGAGAAACAUCUCCUUAGUCCUCUUUAAGGUAACUAAGCAUAAUUUUGACCGCUGUCCAGUGAUCUAUUCCUGGAUCACUAUUGUACCCCCUUGCCAAACUCAUGGCAAGGUACAUAACAUGUUUGGUACACAACAUGGCAUACUUUAUAGAACGUAUGGCUGAGGAAUAGGGAAUGACUUUCAUUCUCUCCUUAUCUUUUGUCGUGGUCGGGUUUUGAGUCUUUACUCAACUUCACACCUUACAAUACAGGCAAGAACUCCUUUUUUGACUGAUCCAUUUUGAACUCCUUCAAAAUCUUGUGAAGGUAUGUGCUCAUUGAAAGUCUUAUCAAGCGUUCUGAUCUAUCUUUAUAGAUCUUGAUGCCCAAUAUGUAAGCAGCUUCACAGAGGUCUUUCAUUGAAAAAUUCUUAUUCAAGUAUCCUUUUAUGCUAUUUACAAAUUCUAUAUCAUUUCCAAUCAACAAUAUGCCAUCCACAUAUAAUAUCAGAAAUGGUACAUAGCUCCCACUCACUUUCUUGUAAAUACAGGCUUUAUCGUAAGUCUGUAUAAAACCUUAUGCUUUGAUGACCUCAUCAAAGUGUAUAUUCCAAUUCUGAGAUGCUUGCACCAGUCCAUAGAUGGAUUGCUGGAGCUUGCACACUUCAUUAGCACCUUUAGGAUCGACAAAACCUUUUGGCUGCAUCAUAUACAACUCUUAUUUAAGAAAUCCAUUAAGGAAUGCAGUUUUGACGUCCAUUUGCCAUAUUUCAUAAUCAUAAAAUGCGGCAAUUGCCAACAUGAUUCGGACAGACUUGAGCAUCACUACGGGCGAGAAAGUCUCAUCAUAGUCAACUCCUUGAACUUGUUGAAAACCUUUUGCGACAAGUCAAGCUUUGUAGAAAGUAACAUUACCAUCAUCGUCAGUCUUCUUCUUGAAGAUCCAUUUAUUCUCUAUGGCUCGCCGAUCAUCGGGCAAAUCGAUGAAAGUCCAGACUUUGUUCUCAUACAUGGAUCCUAUCUCAAAUUUUAUGGCCUCAAGCCAUUUAUCGGAAUCUGGGCUCAUCAUAGCUUCUUCAUAGUUCGUAGAUUUGCGUUGGUCUAGUAACAUGACUUCCAAGACAGGAUUACUGUACCUCUCUGGUGCGGAUCAUGCUCUGGUCGACCCAUGAAAUUCAGUAGCAACUUGAUCUGAAGUUUCAUGAUAAUUAUCAUUAGCUUCCUCUCUAGUUGGUGUAGGAAUCACAUGAACGACUUUCUCUGAUGUGUUACUUUCCAAUUCGAGAGGAGGUACAAUUACCUCAUGAUAACCCACAAGUAUAGGGGAUCGUUUGUAGCCUCUACGAUAAAUAAGAGUGUCGAACCCAAGGAGGAGCUAAAGGCAGAACAAAUAUCCCCUCAAGUUCUAUCGACCACUGAUACAACUCUACACACACUUGACGUUUUCUUUUACCGGAAACAAGUAUGAAACUAUUUUGUAGGUGUGAUGCUAGAACUACUUUGCAAGAAUAAAACUAGAAGUACUUUGCAAGAUAAUAAAAGUUAGGUGUUUAGUAAAAGGGUUUGUGUCAACAAGAAAGUUAUUCGUCCCUAGGCAAUCAAUAACAAGUACUGGUAAUCAUUCUUGUAAUUUUAUAUGAGGGAGAGGCAUGAAGUAACAUACUUUCUGUACUUGGAUCAUAUGCACUUAUGUUUUGAACUCUAGCAAGAAUCCACAACUACUAAAGAUCAUUAAGGUCGUGAAACCCAACCAUAGCAUUAAGUAUCAAGUCCUCUUUACUCCCAUAUGCAAUACCCCACUUACUCGGGUUUAAGCUUCUAUCACUCUCGCAACCCACCAUAAGCGAACCAUGAACAUAUUGCAACACCCUACAGUGGGGCCCCCCUCAUGUUUGUGCGAGAACGGAGGGCACCGUAGGACAACACCAUAAAUAAAAUAUACAAUCACACCAACCAAGAUCACGAUUAACCCAUAUGACAAAACGGGUCUACUCAAACAUCAUAGGAUAACCAAAUAUCAUUGGGAAAUAAUAUAUGGAGUUGAGCACCAUGUUUAAGUAGAGAUUACAGCAAGGGGAAGAGGUGUUACAUCGCUGCAUAAAGGGGGAGAAAGUUGGUGUUGAUGGUAGCAAGAUUGUUGAUGUAGAUCGCCGUCCCGAUUGAUGCCUCGGCGGCACUCCGGCGCCACCGGAAGCGAGGGGGAGAGAGCCCCCUCCUUCUUCUUCUUCCUUGGCCUACCCAUAGAUUCGAGGAGAGUUCCCCCUCUCGUCCUUGCUCUCCAUGGCAGCGGAGGGGCGGGAGCCCCUCCGAUAUUGGAUCUCCCUCUCUGUUCUCUUCUGUUUCGCUCUCACCAGAUCUGGCCGAAAACCGUUUCUUAUAUUCUCGGAGAUCCGUAACUCUGAUUGCGCUAAUCUUUUUACACGAUUUUUUCCUGAUAUAAGCUUCCUUCGCCUGAAGUAGAGCUCCAACCAACAUACGAGGUGAGCAUAACCCACCAUCGCGCGCCAGGGGCCUGGGGCGCGCCCUGGUGUAUUAUGGUCCGUGUGGGCCUUCGUUCGCGGUGAUUCCAACUCCCAAAAAUCACAAAUAUUCCAAAAUAAUUCUCCAUGGAGUUGCAUCACGUUUGUACUUCAUUUGAUAUGGAUUUUCCGUGAUACAAAAACAGGCAAAAAACAUGAACUGACACUGGGCACUAGAUGAGUAAGUUAGUCCAAAUAAAUCAUAUAAAAAUUUGCCAAAAGUAUGUAAAAGUUGAAAAAUAUUGGCAUGAAACAAUCAAAAAUUAUAGAUACGACGGAGACGUAUCAGCAUCCCCAAGCUUAAUUCCUACUCAUCCUCGAGUAGGUAAAUGAUAAAAAAGAUAAUUUUUGAUGUGGAAUGCUACCUAACAUAAACUUGACCAUAUGUCUAGUCAUGGCAUGGAUAUUAAGACACAAGUGAUUCAAAGCAAUAGUCUAUAAUUUGACGUAAAGACAUCAAUACUUAGGCAUCCCAAUAAACAAUUAUGUCUUUCAAAAUAUCAACGCUAAAGAAAACUAUCCCUACAAAAUCAUAUAGUCUUGUCAUGCUCUGUCUUCUUAACACAAAGUAUAAAUCAUGCACAACCCAGAUGACAAGCCGAGCAAUUGGUUCAUACUUUUUAACGUGCUUCAACUUUUUCAGCCCUUACACAAUACAUGAUCACAAACCAUGGAUAUAGCACUAUGGGUGGAAUAGAGUAUGAUGAUAGGGGUAAAUAUAAAGAAGACAAAAAAGUAAGAAAGUCUCACAUCAAUGCGGCUAACCAAUGGGCUAUGGAGAUGCCCAUCAAUUGAUAUCAAUGCGAGGAGUAGGGAUUGCCAUGCAAUGAAUGCACUAAGAGCUAUAAGUGUACGAAAGCUCCAUAUGAAAACUAAGUGGGUGUGCAUCUAAUCCUAUAAUGAAAAAUUCCCAUUAGUAUAUGAAAGUGACAACAUAGGAGACUCUCCAUAUGAAAAACAUGGUGCUACUUUGAAGCACAAGUGUGGUAAAUGAUACUAACAAUGCCCCUUCUCUCUUUAUUUAUAUCUUUUCUUUUCUUUUUCCUUUUUCUUUUUCCUUUUUCUUUUUUCUUUUUCUUUUUCUUUUUUCCUUUUUCCUUUUUUUUCUUUUCCUUUUUUCUCUCUCAUUGUCCGGAGUCUCAUCCCGACUUGUGGGGGAAUCAUAGUCUCCAUCAUCCUUUCCUCACUAGGGCACUGCUCUAAAAAUGAUGAUCAUCACACUUCUAUUUACUUAUAACUCGAAAGGAAUAAAAAUUACAACUCGAUACCUAUAAAAAAAUAUGACUCUAUAUGAAUGCCUCUAACAGAUGAUCUAGCGUAACAUGUAUGAAAAACGAUGCACGAUGGCUAAGCCACAACUAUUAUGUCAGCUAUAUGAUCAUGCAAAGCAAUAUGACAAUGAAUGCUCAAGUCAUCAAACGGAAGCGGUGGAAGUUGCAUGGCAAUAUAUCUCGGAAUGUCCAUGGAAAAGCCAUAAUAGGUAGGUACGGUGACUGUUUUGAGGAAGAUAUAAUAAGGCUUAUGUGUGAUAGAGCGUAUCAUAUCACGGGUUUUGGAUGCACCUGCGAAGUUUGCACCACGUCUCGAGGUGAGAAAGGGCAAUGCACGGUACCGUAGAGGCUAGCAAAUUGUGGAAAGGUAAGAGUGCGUAUAAUCCAUGAACUCGCAUUAGUCAUAAAGAACUCAUAUACUUAUUGCAAAAUUUUAUUAGCCCUCGAAGCAAAGUACUACUACCCAUGCCCCUAGGGGGAUAGAUUGGUAGGAAAAGACCAUCGCUCGUCCCCGACCGCCACUCAUAAGGAAGACAAUCAAGGAUAAAUUGUGCUCCAACUUUCAUAGCAUAACAGAGACUAUACGUGCAUGCUUCGGGAAUCACAAACCUUAACACCAAUAUUCUUACUUAACCACAACCAUUUACUACUACUUCCCACAUAUUCCAUCUCUAUAUCGCAAAACUAUUGCAAGGAAUCAAACAUAUCAUAUUCAGUGAUCCAUAAAUUUUAUGUAGGAUUUUAUGACUAACCAUGAAAUUGACCAAUUCCUAUUGACUCUCUAAAUAGGUAUAAGUGAAGCAUGAGAGUUCAAUUCUUUCUACAAAAUACCAUGCUCUAACAAAUAUAAGUGAAGCAAAAGAGCAUUCUAUGAACAUCGGUUUUCUAUGUGAAGAGAAACAAGCAAUCCAAACUUCAAAUGAUAUAAGUGAAGCACAUGAAGCAUUCUAUAAAGCCAUAAUCAAAAGAUAUAAGUUUACUUCAAUGAGCACUCUAUAAAUCAACAAUGAAUAUCUCAUACCAGCAUGGUUCAUAAAAGAAAAGUGAAAACUAAAUGCAAAAGACGCUCCAAGAUUUGCACAUAUCAUAUGAACGAAACGAAUCCGAAAACAUACCGAUACUUGUUGAAGAAAGAUGGGAUGCCUUCCGGGACAUCCCCAAGCUUAGAUGCUUGAGUCUCCUUGAAUAUUUACUUGGAGUGACUUGGGCAUCCCCAAGCUUGAGCUCUUGCCUCUCCUCCUUCUCCUCAUAUCGAGACCUCCUCGAUCUUCGAACACUUCAUCCACACAAAACUUAAACAAACUUUAGUGGCGGGGUUAGUGAAAAUGGCAAUGAAAUCCCAUCAUGUACUGCUGCAACAUUAUUUUAUAAUUAUAAACAGACAUUACCCACCGUAUGCUAUCACAAUUUUAUGGCCCCAAGUCAAGGAGGCUUCAAGAAGAAUUCAAACAUACGCAAAUAAUGAAGCUAUAACAGCAAUCUGUGAAAACAGGACAGUCUGUAAAGAUUUGAACAUCCACCAUACUUCUGUAAUUCUAAAAUUAUGAAAAAAUUAGGAAAAAAAUAAAAAUUUUGUAUAUAAAGACAGUGCAAAAAGUUUCAUAACUGUUUGACGUUCCAGUAAAAAAUGUAAAAUCGUGUACUACAGCCAAAGUUCCUGUUUUGCACCGCACAAACCAACAAGCAAUCUACUCAUCCUAAAGGAAAAUCUUGUCACAUUAUUUUUAUAAUACAAUGGAAUCGUACAAGGGGAUACUUAUUCUUGUUGAAAAGUUUCUGCAAUUACGAUUCACAAAGUUACCGUGAGCAUGAACAAAGUUCAAGGAGCUCCCCCACUUCAACAAUGCUUGUCUCUCUCACUUUCACUUUCCUUUUUUGAAAAGUUUUGGGUUCCCCUCUAUAUAUUUUUUUGUUUUUAAACUAUAUAAAAACACUCAACAUAAAUAAAUGACUCUCUAAAACUUCCGGGUUGUCUCCCUGGCAGCACUUUCUUUAAAUCCAUUAAGCUAGGCAUAAAGUGCUCAAGUAAUGGAUCCACCUGGAUCCGAAGGUAUAUCAAAUCCAAUUUGAAUUAUCAAUGAUUUGGCAUUUAGUAGUGAGAAUAAAGCAACAUAUAUCAAGCAAUGACGAAGUCUAACUCUCUUCCUAUGCAUCGGCAUGUCAUACAAAAACAAUUCAUGCACAUCAAGCAAAGGCCAAUACAUAGCAUAAGCAGUUUGUUGCAAUUUUUUCGUGUUGGAAACAUAGAGAGGUGGAGAUGUAGUUCCUAUCUCAUAAUAAUUGCAAGUAGGAGCAGCAAGCAUAUGCAUAUUACAUUCAUCAAAAUCAUCAUGUGCAACGGUAGAAAGCAACCCAUCAGUAUAAUCCUUAAUAAGAGCAAACUUCUCCGAUAUAGUGUAGGUUGGAGAAUUCAAAAAGAUAGUAGGACUAUCAUGUGUGGGGGCAAUAGCAACAAUUUCAUUCUUAACAUAAGGAACAAUAUCAAGUUCAUCUCCAUAAGCAUAAUUCAUAUUGGCAUCUUGACCACAAGCAUAGAAAGCAUCAUCAAGAAGAGAUAUUUCAAACGAAUCAACUGGGUCAUAGCAAUUAUCAUAGCAUUCAUCCUUCGGUAAGGACGAAGGGACAUUAAACAAUGUAUGAGUUAAAGAGUUACUCUCAUUAGAAGGUGAGCACGGGUAGCUAAUCCGCUCUUCCUCCUUUUGUUCUUUGCUUUAUCCUCGUCAUCUUUUUCAUCCAAUGAGCUCACAGUUUCAUCAAUUCCUUCUUCCAUAGACUCCUGCAAACCAUUAGUCUCCUCUUGGACAGUGGAGAUUUUCUCAAUAAAUGCAUCAAUAUCAGAAUUGUAUUUGUAAUUAUCAUAGCAAUAUUUAAGGAUGGCAAAAAAUUUCAGCUCUAUAAAUUGGAUCAUCAAAAUCUCAUAGUUUUCAAACAAAGAUUCAAUUUCAUGAGCACCCUUAAAAGCAACAAAUUCUUCUACUCGUUCCACAUCAUAAUAAUCAUAUAUACCACUAGCAUAAGAAGCAAAGGUUUCAUUAUCAUUAAAUUUGCAUGAAAAAGGUGUGGAGCAUUCAUCCGAGAGCAACAAGUAUAAUCAUAUCUCAAGCAUAACUGCCUAGCAUACCAAGGCAACAUAUGAAUUUGAUCCCAUAAAAGUUAACCUUUUUGUGUCAAGCGAGAAUCCCUAAAGUAUUCACGUUGAUCCAAUGUUACUCCCAUUAUCAAGUUGAAUGGGGUUUUCUCAGGAUUAUAAAAGUAGUGCAUAAUAUAUUUCAGAUAACGGUCAUUGAGGGUUUUAGGAGGUUCCCCAUUGUCGGUGUCAAAACUGGAAGAUCUCGGGUAGGGGGUCCCAAACUGUGCGUCUGACGAUCGAAGGUAACCAGAGGCAGGGGGCACGAUGUUUACCCAGGUUCGGGCCCUCUUGAUGGAGGUAAUACCCUACUUCCUGCUUGAUUGACUUUGAUGAGUAUAGGGGUUACAAGAGUUGAUCUACCUCGAGAUCGUAAUGGUUAAACACUAGAUUUCUAGCCUGUAUGAUUAUGAUUGCCUCUAUGGACUAAACCCUUUGGUUUAUAUAGACACAAGAGGGACCUAGGGUUGUACAAAGUCGGUUUACAGCAAAGGAAGAUGCAUGAUUCGAACGCCAAGCUUGCCAUCCACGCAAAGGAGAGUCCCAUCUAGACACGAGGGAAGACCAUCUGUCUUGUAUCUUCACGACCCAUCAGUCCGGCCCAUGUCACAUAUCUCGGACGCCCGGGGACCCCCUAGUACAGGACUCCCUUAGUAGCCCCUGAACCGGGCUUCAAUGUCGACGUAUCCGUGCGCAGAUUGUCUUCGGCAUUGCAAGGAGGGUUCCUUCUCCGUAUACUCCAAAGCAGUCUUCCGCACAUAAGAGCCGUAUCCAGCCCUGCUUAACACUUACAACCCUAAGCUGUAAUGGCAAUAAUACUUAAAGCAAAAUAAGUCAUGUCCACGGGAAACUUUUUCAGAGAGACGUUAUUUUCUGGCCGUGUUAUUAUUCUGAACCGUUUUACAGCCCCCGCUUCGUGUUUCGAGGCACGGCCAUUGACAUGUCAUGUCAAAGCAGAGAUCGUGUCCCCUUAUCAUGGGAUUCUCAUCAAUGUAGGUUUGGGUAAUCCAACCGUGCCGUUCGCACGCCCCCUUGGGAAUAGGCAAGGUUUAAGGCUCAUGAGGGGGGCGCUUGAUAUUCACUGCCUUUAUAAGAGGACAAGGACCCAUCUAUUCACCUCAUGCCUUCUUCUUCCUCUGCCCUUCUGUCCCCGAGCUCCAGCACCCAAGCUCUAGUCUUUCCUUUUGCCCCAACUUCUCCGGCGAUGGCCAGAUCUGGUUUCCAGGGCAAGUGGAUGGCCUCCUCCGUAACGGAGAAGGACAUCAAGGAUCUACGCGAGGCGAGGUACCUAACGGCAGAGAUUAUCCACAGGCUUCCUUCCCCGGGGCAGGUCAUCCCCACCCAGAGCCCGGCGAGAGGGAGGGAUUUGUCGCCCACUUCCUCCGAGGACUUGUGUUCGCCCUCCACUCCUUCGUCCGAGGUCUCAUGUUUUACUACGGGAUGGAUUUCCAUGAUCUGGCCCCAAAUUCCUUCCUCCACAUCUCGGUGUUCAUCGUCGUGUGUGAGGCAUUUCUCCGCGUCCCCCCACACAUCGGCUUGUGGCUCAAGGUUUUUAAUGUGAAGCCAAAGGUGGUCGAGGGCCAACACGUCGAAUGCAGCAGCGACAUGGUGAGCAAGCUCAACCAUGUUACCUGUCCUAAAGGGAGAUUCUGGAUAUUGUCAAGGUAUGGAAGCAAGAGUGGUUCUACAUCACCGAACCCCACAACACCAAGUGGGCGGCCGCUCCUGCUUUUAGAUCUGGACCUCCGCUGCGGCUCGCGUGCUGGACCAACAAGGGUCUAGACUGGGGAUCCCCUGACGAAGUAUCGAUGCUGCAAAAGCGUAUCAAGAGUAUGAUAGAAAAGGACAUCACCCUAGCUGAUGUGAUUCAAGUGAUGCUCAUCCGCUGAGCUCUUCCCUGCCAACAACGGCCUCUCAAAAUCUGGGAGUUUAACCCGGAGGGGCCACAGACCCUUCAAUAUUCUUUGGCCCGACGCACAAAGGGAGCUGGAAGCUGCUCUUCAAGAAGCAGAAGACAUGGCCAAGGAUGUCCGAUGACACCGGCCUCGACUACAACAAUUCAGCAUCCCCAGUAAGUAUCAUAUUUCCGAACAUUACUUAUCUCGUCAAUCUUAGGGAGGGAUACUAAAAAUUCCAUCCCCUGAAUAGGGAUGGAUAAAUAAGGCAAAGCGGAUCAAAUGUCUGGUCCCGCUCCUCAAAAACCCAGCUAAGCCUCUGUUGAUGAGGAUGUUGGUCCCGGCGCCCUAUUAGGCACCAGUGAAGAAGGACAAAAAGAAGAAGAGCAAGGAGGCUGAAGGUGGCCUCCAUCACGAAGAUACUUCAGGCGCUAUGUCCGAAGGAAACGAGGCCCCUUCCUGUCACAAGGGAGACAAAGACGAGGAAGAAGAGGAGGAGGAGGAAGCAGAAAACCCUCCUCUCAAAGGGAAAAAGAGGGCAGCCUCGAAAGAUCUAGAGGAGGGGGCGUCCAAGAGGGGAAAGAUAUCCCUCUCGGACGAUUCAGAUUCGGACACCGAAGCUGUCCCCAAGCACCGCCCCCGAGCCAAGCCCCUUGCCGAAUCGUAAGUACCUUAGGAUGCCUUACGUACAUCCAAUCUUUUACAACUUGUAAGAAUAACAUCAAUUCAUGUGUUUUCAGUCCGGCCCAUGAUAUACCUCAAGAAUCAUCGUAAUCGGGGGAUCUUCCGCCGGAGGUGAUGGAGAGCAAAACACCUCCACAAGCUUCCUCACCUCCUAGGGUAGACGACAUCGAGGUGUCAUCUCGAAGGAUUUCUCCGAGCUUCGGAGAAGUGCAGAAGAGGACCAAGACGGCGCCAGAGGAUAACACAUUGGCUGCCGAAAACAUGAGGGGCGCAACCCUCAUGGAGACCGGCGACGGGUGUCUUGGAUCAUCCGACCCCCGCCCGGAUACUUUUCUGAAGAUACAAAUGGCUCUGAAGUCGAAUCAGCAGCCUCCUUCGAGGGAGGAGAAAGCGGCUAUUCCAACGGCGACCUCUACUAAUGCGGAGGCGCCGAACAUGCUGAUGGACGCUCUGCAAAGUGCGUCCGUCUUGGAGGAGCACCGUACCUUGAUGGGUACGAUGGUUGAGAAGAUUCAGUCCGCUAAAAGCGUCCUGAAUGAAGCCUUCACGAGCCUACUAAUAGGCUUCGAGGUAUCCGAUGUAAUGUCUUUAGCCGCUUUACAUAUGAAAAAUAUGCCUGUAUAUAGAUAGUAGCCCCUGAGACUCUGAUCGGCCCAUGAAGGAGGGCGAACAAAGGAUCUAUAGACAUCCGCAGGAAAUAACAUACUUAUCUUUUUGCUAAAAAAACAUGCUUCACUGUUAGUGGUGACCGCUCAGCGGAAACUGCGGCUGGCCAACGAGGACAAUAUCUUUAUUAACAAGUAGCUCGACGAGGCGCAAGGUAUGUUUCAAGUACGCUGCGCAUGAUUGUAUUAGUUCGCAAAUGCUAAGUUGAAGCUUACUCGCUACUAUAUGCAUAAUUGCAGAUGGCGCUGCUGAGGUCGAGGCCCUCAGGAGUGACCUUGCCCGCGCAAAGGAGCAGGCAAGGGUGAGCAAUGCGGCCGCUGAGAAAAUGGCUGCGGAUUUGAAGGCUGAACAGGCCAUCCGAUGCCAGUUCGAGGAGCGGGUAUCCAAAGUUGAGCAAGAGCUCAAGGACGCCACUCGCAAGUGCAAGCUCCUCGAGGGGGAGAAUAAAGCUAAGGCGUCCGAACUCGCCAAGGCCCUUAAGGAAGCCCAAGACGUGAGGUUCGAAUCCCGAGUGGCUCACGAGGAGAUCCGACAGGCAGGACAUAUAGCGGCUGGUAAGCCCUUUCUUUUACAGUCUAAGUUUGGCGAUCAAAGGUAUGCCUUGCUUAAUUGACUAUGCAGUUCUCUAGACGCUUUUGCGGAUCUUCCGAAGAGUGCUGCCGAUGCUAUGCAAUUCUAUCGAGCUCAGGAGGGGCAUGCGACGGAGAAGCUGUUCUGGUCGUAGUUCGUGACACAGGAGCGCUCGACGCUGCUGAACGACCAAAUGGCGCAGUAGGCCGAGCUGCAUAAGAUGUCCGGAGUGGUCAUGAAGGGUGUAAUAGUCCGGCUGUGGCCAGCCGAACCCGUUCUGAGUAGCUAUUUUGGCCUAGUGCGGCGACUCGUCGAUGCCGUGCUCCGAAUUGAUGCGAUCGAGUGGUGAGUGUGCGUAGAAGGUGCACGGAUGGCCUUAUCACGUGUCAAGAUGCACUGGGCGAAGAUGAAGGCCGCCGUUAUCACAGUCGAGGGUCCUCCCAGAGGCAAGGGCCCCAAGUUUCUACCGGAGAGUCAAGACGAAAAUGUGUGCCAACCCCUAUGCAUAGAUUCCCAAGGUUACAGAACCCGCAAGUUGAUCACCAAAACAUACAUCAAGUGGAUCAAUAGAAUACCGCAUUGUCACCACGGGUAUCCCACGCAAGACGUACAUCAAGUGUUAUCAAAUCCGUAAAGACUCAAUCCAAUAAGAUAACUUCAAAGGGAAAACUCAAUCCAUUACAAGAAAGUAGAGAGGGGGAAACAUCAUAAGAUCCAACUAUAGUAGCAAAGCUCGCGAUACAUCAAGAUCGUGCCAUAUCAAGAACACGAGAGAGAGAGAGAGAUCAAACACAUAGCUACUAGUACAUACCCUCAGCCCUGAGAGUGAACUACACCCUCCUCGUCAUGGAGAGCGCCGGGAUGAUGAAGAUGGCCAACGGUGAUGGAUCUCCCCUCCGGUAGGGUGCCGGAAUAGGGUCCCGAUCGGUUUUUGGUGGCUACAGAGGCUUGCGGCAGCGGAACUCCCGAUCUAGGUUUCUUUUUGGGGGUUUCUGUAUUUAUAGGAAUUUUUGGCGUCGGUCUCACGUCAGGAGGGUCUCCGAGUCAUCCACGAUGCAGGGGGCGCCCCCAGGGGGUAGGGUGCGCCCUCCACCCUCGUGGAUGGCUCAAGACUCUUUUGUCCCAACUCUUUUACUUUGGGGGCUUCUUUUAGUCCAUAAAAAUCCACAAAAAUUGGCAGGUCAAUUGGACUCCGUUUGGUAUUCAUUUUCUGUAAAACUCAAAAACAAGGAAAAAAACAGAAACUCGCACUAGGGUUUAGUUUAAUAGGUUAGUCCCAAAAAUCAUAUAAGAUAGCAUAUAAAUGCAUACAAAGAAUCCAAGAUUGAUAAUAUAAUAGCAUGGAAUAAUAAAAAAUUAUAGAUACGUUGGAGACGUAUCAAGUAUCCCCAAGGUUAAUUCCUGCUCGUCCUUGGGUAGGUAAAUGAUAAAAAUAGAAUUUUUGAUGUGGAAUGCUACCUAACAUAUUUAUCAAUGUAAUCUUCUCUAUUGUGGCAAGAAUAUUCAGAUCCAUAAGAUUCAAAACAAAAGUUUAAUAUUGACAUAAAAACAAUAAUACUUCAAGCAUACUAAUAAAGCAAUGUCUUCUCAAAAUAACAUGGCCAAAGAAAGCUAUCCCUACAAAGUCUUAUAGUAUGGCUAUGCUCUAUCUUCAUCAUACAAAACAUUUAAAUCAGGCACAACCCCGAUGACUAGCCAAGCAAUUGUUUCAUACUUUUGAUGUUCUCAAACUUUUUCAAUCUUCAUGCAAUACAUGAGCGUGAGCCAUGGACAUAGCACUAUAGGUGGAAUAGAAUGGUAGUUGUGGAGAAGACAAAAAGGAAGAAGAAGAUAAUCUCACAUCAACUAGGCGUAUCAAUGGGCUAUAGAGAUGCCCAUCAAUAGAUAUCAAUGUGUGUGAGUAGGGAUUGCCAUGCAACGGAUGCUCUAGAGCUAUAAGUGUAUGAAAGCUCAAAAAGAAACUAAGUGGGUGUGCAUCCAACUCGCUUGCUCAUGAAGACCUAGAGCAUUUUGAGGAAGCCCAUCAUUGGAAUAUACAAGCCAAGUUCUAUAAUGAAAAGUUCCCACUAGUAUACGAAAGUGACAACAUAGGAGACUCUCUAACAUUUAAGAAUUUCAGAUCUUGGGAUAGUAUUCAAACAACAAUUAAAACAAAAUAAAAUAAAAUGAUGCUCCAAGAAAAACACAUAUCAUGUGGUGAAUAAAAAUAUAGCUCCAAGUAAGGUUACCGAUGAACGAAGACGAAAGAGGGGAUGCCAUCCAGGGCAACCCCAAGCUUAGGCUCUUGGUUGUCCUUGAAUAUUACCUUGGGGUGCCUUGGGCAUCCCCAAUGUUAGGCUCUUGCCACUCCUUAUUCCGUAGUCCAUCAAAUCUUUACCCAAAACAUGAAAACUUUACAACACAAAACUCAACAGAAAACUCGUAAGCUCCGUUAGUAUAAGAAAAUAAAAUCACCACUUUUGGUACUGUUAUGAACUCAUUCUAAAUUCAUAUUGGUGUAAUAUCUACUGUAUUACAACUUCUCUAUGGUUCAUACCCUCCGAUACUACUCAUAGAUUCAUCAAAAUAAGCAAACAACACAUAGAAAACAGAAUCUGUCAAAAACAGAAUAGUCUAUAGUAAUCUGUAACUCUCGAAUACUUCUGUAAAUCCAAAAAUUCUGAAAUAAAUUGGUGGACGUGAGGAAUUUCCCUAUUAAUCAUAUGCAAAAAAAUCAACUUAAAAGCACUCUGCUAUAAAAAAAAUGACAACUAAUCUCGUGAGCGCAAAGUUUCUGUUUUUUACAGCAAGAUCGCAUUAACUUUCACCCAAGUCUUCCCAAAGGCUUUACUUGGCACUUUAUCGAAACAGAAGCUAUAAAACAUGAUUACUGCAGUAGAUUAAUCAUGUGUACACACAAAAACAAUAGGAGUAAAUAUUGGGUUGUCUCCCAACAAGCGCUUUUCUUUAAUGCCUUUUUAGCUAGGCAUGACGAUUUCAAUGAUGCUCACAUAAAAGAUAAGAAUUGAAACAUAAUGGGAGCAUCAUGAAGAAUAUGACUAGCACAUUUAAAUCUAACCCACUUCCUAUGCAUAGGGAUUUUGUGAGCAAACAACUUAUGGGAACAAGAAUCAACUAGCAUAGGAAAGCAAAACAAGCAUAGCUUCAAGAUUUUCAACACAUAGAGAGGAAACUUGAUAUUAUUGCAAUUCCUACAAGCAUAUAUUCCUCCCUCAUAAUAAUUUUCAGUAGCAUCAUGAAUGAAUUCAACAAUAUAACUAUCACAUAAAGAACUCUUUUCAUUAUGCAUAAGCAUAGAAUUUUUAUUACUCUCCACCUAAGCAAAUUUCUUCUCACGAAUAGUAGUGGGAGCAAACUGAAAAAUAACUAUCAUGUGAGGCAUUAUCCAAUUGAAAAUUAAAAUCAAGAUGACAAGUUUCAUGGUUAUCAUUAUUCUUUAUAGCAUACAUGUCAAUAAUCAUCAUAGAUAGCAACUUUGUUCUCAUAAUCAAUUGGAACCUCUUCCGAAAUAGUGGAUUCAUCACUAAAUAAAGUCAUGACCUCUCCAAAUCCAGUUUCAUCAAUACAAUCAUAAGAUUCAACACCCUCCAAAAUAGUGGGAUCAAUACUACCUAAAGUUGGCACUCUUCCAAACCCACUUCCAUCAAUAUAAUCAUCAUAGAUAGGAGGCAUGCUUUCAUCAUAAUAAAUUUUCUCAUUAAAACUUGGGGGACUAAAAAUAUCAUCUUCAUCAAACAUAGCAUCCCCAAGAUUUUGGCUUAGCAUAUCAUUAGCAUCAUGGAUUUUCAAAGAAUUCAUACUACCAACAUUGCAAUCAUGAUCAUUAUUCAAAUAUUUAGUGCCAAACAUUAAAAUGCAUUCUUCUUCUAGAACUUGAGCACAAUUUUCCUUUCCAUCAUUUUCACGAAAGACAUUAAAAAGAUGAAGCAUAUGAGGCACCCUCAAUUCCAUUUUUUUGUAGUUUUCUUUUAUAUACUAAACUAGUGAUAAAACAAGAAACUAAAAGAUUCGAUUGCAAGAUCUAAAGAUAUACCUUCAAGCACUAACCUCCCUAGAAAUGGCACCAGAAAAGAGCUUGAUGUCUACUACGCAACCUUAUUCUUGUAGACGUUGUUGGGCCUCCAAGGGCAGAGGUUUCUAGGAAAGUAGCAAAUUUCCCUCAAGUGUUUGACCUAAGGUUUAUCAAUCCAUGGGAGGCGUAGGAUAAAUAUGGUUUCUCUCAAAUAACCCUGCAACCAAAUAACAAAGAGUCUCUUGUGUCCCCAACACACCCAAUACAAUGGUAAAUUGUAUAGGUGCACUAGUUCGGCGAAGAGAUGGUGAUACUAGUGCAAUAUGGAUGGUAGAUAUAGGUUUAUAUAAUCUGAAAUUAUAAAAACAGCAAGGUAACUAGUAAUAAAAGUGAGUGUAGACGGUAUUGCAAUGCUUCGAAACAAGGCCUAGGGUUCAUACUUUCACUAGUGCAAGUUCCCUCAACAAGGAUAACAUAAUUGGAUCAUAUAACAAUCCCUCAACAUGAAACAAAGAGUCACUCCAAAGUCACUAAUAGCGGAGAACAAACAAAGAGAUUAUUGUGGGGUACGAAACCACCUCAAAGUUAUUAUUUCCGAUCAAUCCAUUGGCCUAUUCCUAUAAGUGUCACAAACAACCCUAGAGUUCAUAGUAAAAUAAAGCCUUAAGACACACAUCAACCAAAACCCUAAUUUCACCUAGAUACUCCAAUGUCACACAAUAUCCGAUUCAUCUAUUCAAACCAACACAAAGAACUUCAAAGAGUGCCCCAAAGUUUCUACCAGAAGAGUUAAGACAAAAAUGUGUGCCAACCCCUAUGCAUAGAUUCCCAAGGUCACAGAACCCGCAAGUUGAUCACCAAAACAUACAUCAAGUGGCUCAAUAGAAUACCCCAUUGUCACCACAGGUAUCCCACGCAAGACAUACAUCAAGUGUUCUCAAAUCCUUAAAGACUAAAUCCGAUAAGAUAACUUCAAAGGGAAAACUCGAUUCAUUACAAGAAAGUUGAGAGGGAGAAACAAGAUAAGAUCCAACUAUAUAGCAAAGCUCACGAUACAUCAAGAUCAUGCCAUAUCAAGAACACGAGAGAGAGAGAGAGAGAGAGAGAGAGAGAGAGAGAGAGAGAUCAAACACAUAGCUACUGGUACAUACCCUCAGCCCUGAGGGUGAACUACUCCCUCCUCGUCAUGGAGAGCGCCAGGAUGAUGAAGAUGUCCAUCGGUAAUGGAUCCCCCUUCCAGUAGGGUGCCAGAACAGGGUCCCGAUUGGUUUUUGGUGGCUACAGAGGCUUGCGGCGGUGGAACUCCCGAUCUAGGUUUCUUUUCGGGGGUUUCUGUAUUUAUAGGAAUUUUUUGCGUCGGUCUCACGUCAGGGGGGUCUCCGAGUCAUCAACGAGGCAGGGGGCGCCCCUAGGGGGCAGGGGCUCGGGACUCUUCUGGCCCAACUCUUUUACUUCAGGGGCUUCUUUUGGUCCAUAAAUCCACAAAAAUUGGUAGGUCAAUUGGACUCCGUUUGGUAUUCCUUUUCUGUAAAACUCAAAAACAAGGAAAAACAUAAACUCGAAUUGGGCUCUAGGUUAAUAGGUUAGUCCCAAAAAUCAUAUAAAAUAGCAUAUAAAUGCAUAUAAAACAUCUAUAAUUGAUAAUAUAAUAGCAUGGAACAAUAAAAAAUUAUAGAUACAUUGGAGAAGUAUGAACCUUCGACGAGGUCAUGUUGGAUGCUAAAAACCUGCAUCUAGAUCUCUUUUGCCAUUUGGAACCGUUGGACCAGAGGGCUAUGGUUUGGAUAAUUAGGAUUAGAUGACUAGUCUAACUGAAGAAGAUGAUUAUUUAAAGGGGCUUUGGAAUUACUCCAGGAGUAUGUGAAGAGGUUAAAAUGAUGUGAAUGCAGUGGGGUUUGGAUGCAAAUGAAGAUGAAGGAGAGGUGAAGAAGCCGAGGAAAAUCGGUUCCCGAUGGAGAAGUAAAUGGGAGAAGUGGCCUACAGGCAGUUGAUUAGACGGCUAGGUAGACUAAACGAAAAGGCUAUGCGAGUAAAUCGAGGAGUGGUAAUUGUCCGUGUACGUGCCCGUCCUUCUAGCGCUACAUGUGCCACUGGCUAGUUGAGGUCACUCUUUCGAAUCACCGUGGCGAGAAAUUUUAUGAUCCCUUUUUAUUUCUGCACCCCUCCUGACAGGUGGGAUCUAUGCAAACAGAUAUUAAAAAUGUGCCAUAGCUGGUUCAGAUGGAUAUUGGCGCGUGCUUGGGAGACACAACAUUCCGUGGUUAAGGAAAAUGAGUUUAUCCUCAAAAAGAAAAGAAAAAGCCCUUCUUUGCGCUUCCGCAUGCACAAGAAUUUGGUUCUGCUCGCAAUAUGGAUGAUACCUGGAGGAUGAAGUGAACCCAGAGGCAUGCUAGCACGGGAGACCUAUUUCCGCUAUGCAGUACUACUCUGUAUCUUCCUACUAGUAGUAGUACAACUGUGGUACACUUGAUGGUCAAAAUAUUAUACAUCUGGUCCUCACAGUGAAGUGACAAGACCCUGUGCCCGAGGUGACACUAGUCCACGCGGCGUGUUCUGGUUACCAAAGUUAGCCUCACCUUGUGCACUAUGCAGUCACUAUCACCACUGAUGUAUAGCGUGACUCGCCUCAUCUCCCUCUCCCCUAGCACCACUCCAUCUCCAUCUCCGUCUCACCGGAGAUCCUGAGGUCACUCUUCAUCAUCUCACUAUGCCCCCGUGUACCCUCGCCCCACUCGCCUCCCCCAGUACCACUAUUCCCUCGCUAGCCGCUCCAGCAUCGAGAGCCUUCUCCCCCGUAAAUCAAGCCCCCCAAAACCCCACCUUCCAAACUCCACCAUGGACAAACACAAACCGCACAAGAUCCAUAUGAGCCGUGAUCAGAGAAUUCUCCCCAGUGACAUCCUUGACCUCUGUUGUUCGUGUAUGGAUAUGUUGAGCACCAUGUGGCUGGCUGCAUGCUCGAGGGACAUGCACAUGGCCAUCAUCGAAGUGAGGCCUAAGCUUUUCAUGACACCCUGCUUGCUGCUAUCUAGUCUUGCGAGAUUUGCUCACCAUGAUACGGAUGAGUACAUGAUGCCCCUCGACUUCAAUCCGACCUCCGUUAGCCGAAACUUCUUUGCAGGUAUGUAGUGAGUCUCCGUACAUCAUUUCCCCCGACUUCGAUCCGAUCACCAUCGCCCGAAACUUCUUGGCAAGUAUGUACUAGGAUGGCAUAAACUCCCACUAGAUGGCUGCCGUCAGAGAAAACGGGAAAAAGUUGGUGCUCAUGAACUUCCAAACCUCCCAUGAGAUUAUCCUUCCUCCGUUGGAUUAUAUAGGGUUUUACCAUUACGUUACAAGUCAUCUAGAUUACCACGUGAGUUGGACGAACCUUGUUUUGUAGAAGAUUGUAAUCUUCCAAGUGCCCACACGUCAUGCAGAUUAUGCAGACUUCAAGCUAAUUGUCUUGUUCGACCGCGGACUCGCCUAUCUUUAUGCCGGUGCCUUCUUUAGCUGGAGACAACUCAGCUCGCAGUGGAUCUUCAAAGCUGAUACACACUUCUGUGUUUCUAUUGAACACAAUGGCAUCAUCUACGCGAUCGACAAAGCAGAUGACACCACGUAUUGCUGGGACGGUGCGUGUAAGUUGUUUUUGUCUGAUGUUAAUGAUAUCACCAUGACGCUGUUUGAACUUUUUGUGAUGAUUGGCAUAUCCCUGUUUGAGCAGAAUUUAAGUAGAACUAUGGCAGUGUAUCACAAUGUAUUAGAUACGUCGUAAAUCAUCUAUAUUAUGAAUGAGUUAAUUCAUGCGAUUGUGACCAUGGCAUUACAGCCAAUUUGUAACCUUGAAUAAUCAAACGGUUAGGAAGAUAAGGAUAUUCUCCUUACUUUAUAGUAAUCUAUAUACUACUAAAUAUGAGUGUGUAUCAAUAGCCAUGUUAGUUUCCUUAUUUUCAUGAUGUAGAAACAUGCAUCACAUUGUUGGUUUCAUCUAACCAUACAUUAGGGAAGUAAAUGUGCAUAUGGAGAACUCUAUAUUUGGAAGUAGUGAAAUCCCUUAAUGCUUACCAUGUGUACGUACCUAUAUUUGCCCUUCAACAAUCAAUGGCUAGAAUAAUAUCCUCACAAAAAAAUUUGCCCACAGAACAUGAGUAUAUAACAAUGCAUGGUCUAUUAGUUUCCUUGAAGAAUUUGUUUGUGAGGACAGAACAUGAUUACAUAACAUGCAUGACAUGGUAGUUUCCUGUGAAGAACCGAUUGCGAGAUAACAUGAGUAUAACCAUGCAUGGCACUUCUAUAUUUUCGAACCCAGUAUAUAUUUCCCUGUAUUUUCCUCUCAGUUCCAACAGGGACAUAUCAAUGUUGUUUCUUGCAUUAUCCUACUCAUACUCUGAACAAUGCUGAUCUUACAUUAACAAUGCAUAUCCUUUUUGAUAUGAUGUAGUGUCCCUACAACUACUGCUCUUUGUUAUCACACCACGUUUGCCAAAAAUAGGGAAGCACAACUGGUUCCUCGCUCGAUCAGUCGACGACAAAACACUAAAGAUCAUUCGCACACAUGAGCCGGAAAAGUUAUAUUGUAAAAAACCCACUGCGUACAAGCACCAUGAAAUACGUGAGUAUCCGGAUAGUGGCUGUUAUGUCUAUGCGUAGGAUACUAGCUUGUUGGGGCCUUCGGGAUUUUUGAGUUGGAGGCGGGUAAACAGCCUUGGUUCACACUCUCUGUUUCUUGGACUCAAUUAUCCGGUUAACCACGAGAUCACCGUUGGCAAGGACGUUGAUGACAGAGAGGCUAUGUUUGUUGUGGAAAACUUUGUCUACAUGGCGAGCCCUAGGACUGCGGGAGCAAACUCCCCUGAUUGUCAAUGAUACGACCUGCAACCAAAAGAAGGUGAGAAUGACAAAGGCAUCUAGAUUAACUUUGAUCCUUGGAUGUCUCAAGUCCGACAGGCAGUGAUGUGGUUCAAGCCUUCAAGUUGGUAGGUAAUUGGGCUAUUGCGUCAAAAGGGUGGAGUGCUGGUCUCUCCAGAUCACUGGUGGCUGAAGCGGGGCUGCAAAUUAUGAUGGUGUUGGAUCAUCCCUCUUCGAAUGACUUGUUGACUUUGCUGCUUAUUCUGGAUGAGUAUUUCUCUCUUUUGUUAUGCAUAUUCCUUAUCAUUUGGUCAUCCUCGUCUAUGUCACUCUUACUAUGUAAUAGUUUCCUCUAUUUACAAUUUCAUUCCCGUCUAGAUCACGAGAGUCUGAGCGUUGCAGAUGGGUGCGUUUUGGUGGUGUAGCAAGACUUCUUACGAACAAUCAUGUCUUGAUGUUUAUGUCAGUAGUAGUCACUAGCCAGUGUCUGAAUGUUGUAUAUAUCUUUGUUUCGAACUGUUUAUUGCCUCGAACUACUGGUGGGCUAAAUGAGGGCAUCACCAUUCUCUAGUGUUCAGAAUAUAUCUCCCUUUUCAAGUUAUAAUUUGAGUUCAGUGUCUUUUCGAUGAUGUACACUUGUUUGGGCCAGUGAGGUGCCAUUGAAUAUGGGCCGAGUAGUAACACAAUGCCAAAUAGGUCAAUUAUGACUCUCAGGCCGGGUGUAAUGCCCGGAUAAUCAAGCUACAGUAAUCCCUUACUAAUGAUGCCAAGUCAUCACUGUUACCGUCGCUAAUCGUACUUAGAUUCAAAACCAAUUCAAAUUCAAUCUUAAAAUAAAGUCAAAUAAAUUAUUUCUCCAAAUAGUAAAACAAAAAUGUUCGUUGGGUUGCAAAUAUUCACUAACUAAAUGUCAUGAGUGAUUCAACAUCAUUUGAGAUAGCUAAUUUCCCAUGGGCAUUAAAGCAAUUCCAAAUCAGCAUUUUUAAAUGCUUUUCCAUUUGUGCAAAAUCUAAAUCAAUUCAAACUCCUCCCAAACUUUUUGUGGCGGGUGCCAAAUAUUGUAAUGUAUUUAUUUGGCCAAGUCCCACAAUUUUGCAGAAUUCCUUUUGGCAGCUCAAAUAUUGCAUAGCAUUUUUGCUGUUAAAAAGAAAAAGCAAAAGUCUUAAGGGAAAAGGAAACCCCCUGGCUCCCCUGGGCUUUGGCCCACUCCCACACAGCCGACCCACUACACCAUUCCCUCGGUCGACCUCCUGUUCCCCCGACCGGGGUCGCUACAGGGGGCGCCACCGGACCAGCUCGACGGCGCCGACGAGUGGAUAAGGACGCCGACGUCGUGCCCCCUCGGGCUCCCCUCCCUACUUGCCCCUCGCUCUCCCACUCACUCUCUCCCCCCCCCUUCCAGAUCUGUAGCGCCCGAGCGCGCCCAUGGACGCGCCGCCGUGCUAACCACGGCCACCGUCGUCCCCGAGCCCCUCCGACUAGUCCCCGAGCACCGUCAUCCUCCUCUACGUCCUCCACGCCGACGAUUUGGAUCCGGGGAGCUCUAUAGCGCUGGAUCCCCUUCGUCAUCUUCCUUGGGUCGCCUCUGUCGCCUUCGACUCCGGCUACCGCCACCCUCCCAUCUACGUCGCGCCGCUGCUGCUAUUAAUCCAUCAUCGGGCCCCGUGCGCCCACACGGUGAGCACCCGCGCCCCGCUUCCCUUUUCCCUCGUCGCCGUAGGUCGCGUCCCGCCUCCCCUGCCUGGAGUUGUGUCGUUGCGCCCGAGCACGCACACACCCUGGCUCUGGCCGCCUUGGCCGCGCGCUCCACGCCCUAGGCCGCGUUCGCCACUGCCCGCAUUCCCCUUGUUCGCGCCCCUGGACGCCCCUCCCCGCACCCGUCUUGCCUAGCGCCGUGCCUGCGGUGGCCCUUGCAACCCCGCCUCUCCGCCGGCCGCCCCGGCCACCACCGCGACCCUGCACGGCGCUCGCCCCGCUCUCCCCUUCCGCUCCGGCUCGCUGCCGGCCCCGUCCGCCGCUCGGUCGCCUCGUCGGCGCCUCUCGCAACCCGGUCGACCUCGCCAUGGCUGCGGCCCCUCCGGCCGUUGCCGUGGCCAAUGCCCCUGGUGGCCUCGGUCGCGGGUGCAUGCCCGUUGACCCGCUCCGCCCCUCUAGUCUAACUAGUAGAACGCCCGUGCGUUGCUACGGGCUAUGCAUAUAAAUAAAUAAAAAAUUAUUAAGGUUGUCUUCGUCGACGCCCUUCAUCCCUCUAAACCCGCCACCAACUUUGUUGCUUGCGACUUCCCCCUUAGCCACACUUGAAUAUGAACCCCUGCCUCUCCUCCGUCGGUAACGACCCAAUGUUAUUGUUGUUCUUUUUCCUCCCAACACCGCCUUUUUUGUCCACUCUACAAAACCGCCCACCUCUCUUUGCCUAACCCCUAGCCACUGCCACCCGUAAAUGAGAAGGUCGUUGCUUCCUGGCCCGAGUCACCGCCGCCAACACUACCCACAACUGAGGAGUCCUGAUGCACUCCCCCUUGCCGCCCCCUUGCCCAAGUCCACGCCUACAUCAUGCAUUGGUACGGGAGACAAAAAUCGUCGAUGAUCGUCACAUUGUCCACCUAUUCUUGAUGAACACGGAGCUUCACACGAAUGCUUGGAAGGGCAAAAGACUUUUAGGACCCCAUGCACAUCAAGCAACAUUGUCAAUUUUGUUAUCAUUAUAGGACAUUUUUUCCCGUUCUUCCUUCUCAACCCACAUACCAAGUAACCAAUUCUGGUUAAACAUAGUAAUUUACGAAAUUUUAUAUGAUUUGCAAGAAUUCCACUGACCGAGACAUUCUAAGAAUGCCAAAAGGUUGUGAAUAAUCUCAAGCAACUACUCCCUCUGUCCCAAAAAGCUUGUCUUAAAUUUAUGGAUACGGAUAUAUCUAGACACGUUUUAGUGUUAGAUUCAACCGUAUGUAGAUAAAUCUAAUACAAGAUUUUUAGGACAGAGGUAAUAUAAUUUUCUGAAUUUAGUCCAUAUACUUAACCUUUUCAGUAUGCAUAGAGCAAUGAUACACAUUAUGCCAGUAAACCUCAACCGGAUCAUCUUUGUGUGCAUGUUGAACUUAGUAUAUAUGUACAGCUAACUUGAAUGAUAACAAAUAUUUGCAUACAAAUAAGAUGGAUGUUUUAGUAGAACUGAAGUGUACUCAACAUGAAAAAGAGAACUGAAGUAUACUAAUGCCCAACAGGAAAAGCGCACUUCUAUUUACUUGGCAGAAACUCCUAAAUAGUUGUAUCUUAACAUAAGUAGGCAGAAGCACUAAAUUGUACAUAGGAGAGAGGAAUGACACUUCAAAAUUUGGAUAGUCCCAAACCACAGCUAAUUAAAGUCCAGGUGCAGUGGAGAGUAAAAAAAAUGGAAGGAUUUUUUCUCUAGCACACAUUUCUUAUCCUCUCUCUUUUGCUUUUUCUUUCUUUUACUCUCAACUUUUAUUUGAGAGAAUCCUUUACUCUCCACUUAACCACACCAUAACUGAACUGCAACUCUGCAAGCCCAAACUGCAAGACCAAUUUUCUAUCUCACACAGGAGCGGUCACGCAAGUCAUCUUCGUUCUUUCAUUGAACCGAACCACACCACAGACUGAACUGAGCCC